Molecule: long non-coding RNA, 637 nt
Filed under: Setaria viridis
Lineage: Eukaryota; Viridiplantae; Streptophyta; Magnoliopsida; Poales; Poaceae
Description: long non-coding RNA (SVIR_LNC000606)
Source: RNAcentral
GGAUAUGAUAUGGUAGAAUAGAGUUGCUAUAAUCUUGUUCUACAUGAAGCUUGAUAUUUGGAGUUUUACUUUUGCAAAUUCUAAAAUGAUAAGUUCCUCAAUGAUGAGAAAUUCCUAUCCAAGGCGAUAUGUUGAUCCUAUUACAUAGCCUCCACAUAUGCAACUUGUUCUCUCAUUGAGCUUUGUCAAAUUGUUGUGACCCUUAGUGAGAAACUUGUCAUACUCCCAUGAUCAAGAUGACGUACACGCCACCACCAUAUGCUAAACAUCUACACUAGAAGUUACCAGUCAUCAUUUCAUUCAUCCACAAAAUAAAGCUCCAUGUUAUUCUAUGACCUCUCUCUCCAUAAGUAUCCUUGCAAAAGAGACUUGGGUCAUGCAAAAAGACGUAAAGGACAUGCUCAUGAAAGCAUGAUGAAAAAAAAGGAAGAAGAAAAAGAAAAUAUAGCCCAUGUCUCAAAAGAAGAGAAAGCAAAGGAGAAAGAAGGAUCACAAAAAAAGGAGUCCAUAUACCAUCCACCAUAUCCACCAUCCACACACAUGCACAUCUUGAUCAGGUUGUAUGACUUGCUUCUCCAAAGGAUCCAAUCUUUGACUUAGCAAUAAAUGAGAAACAGAUAUGCCUUCAUUCUUCCCU